Molecule: non-coding RNA, 72 nt
Organism: Phrynosoma platyrhinos (Desert horned lizard)
Lineage: Eukaryota; Metazoa; Chordata; Lepidosauria; Squamata; Phrynosomatidae
Source: the annotation of a GenBank genome assembly
GCCAGGGUGGUGUAGUGGUUUGAGUCUUGGACUGUGACUCUGGAGACUAGAGUUCAAUUCCCAGCUCAGCCA